CCCACUUGGAGGAAGAAGGUCUGUGCAGAUUGUGGAUAUUCACAGCAGGCAUGUUCUUCCUUCCCUUUUAGGGGCACCCUGGGAUGCCAGGAGGAGUGGGUUUUCCUGGGAUCCCUGGACCAACAGGUCCGGCAGGAGCCCGUGGUGCACCAGGGGUCCGAGGGAUGAAAGGCCGCAGGGGUGCCAGAGGGCCUGAUGGACCCGUAGGCGAGCCAGGGUCGCGAGGUGUCAAGGGCCGACCAGGGGA
This 247-nucleotide long non-coding RNA is filed under the name Parus major (Great Tit). Its description in RNAcentral is "lncRNA (ENSPMJG00000009571.1)". The record is from RNAcentral. Lineage: Eukaryota; Metazoa; Chordata; Aves; Passeriformes; Paridae.